CAAGUAAGACAGGUAAUCGCAGCUGCAGGAGCCGAAAGGCAGCAGGUGAGGAAAGUCCGGGCUUCACAGGGCAGGAUGCCGGAUAACGUCCGGUGGAGGCGACUCCAAGGAUAGUGCAACAGAAAUGAACCGCCGUGCGGGACCCGCACGGUAAGGGUGGAAGGGCAGUGUAAGAGACUACCGCCCUGCUGGUAACAGCAGGGGCAUAUGUAAACCCCAUCCGAAGCAAGACCGGAAAAAGACGAUGUGGCGGCCCGUCACGUCUUAGGUAGGUCGCUUGAGCCCAUCGGCGACGGUGGGCCUAGAUAGAUGAUUACCCAACGACAUAACCCGGCUUAUCGUUUUGCUUGCCAG
RNAcentral lists this RNase P RNA (354 nucleotides) under Dorea sp. Its description in RNAcentral is "RNase P RNA component class A". It matches the Rfam family "Bacterial RNase P class A". Rfam says of the family: Ribonuclease P (RNase P) is a ubiquitous endoribonuclease, found in archaea, bacteria and eukarya as well as chloroplasts and mitochondria. Its best characterised activity is the generation of mature 5'-ends of tRNAs by cleaving the 5'-leader elements of precursor-tRNAs. Lineage: Bacteria; Bacillati; Bacillota; Clostridia; Lachnospirales; Lachnospiraceae. RNAcentral also lists the same sequence under 2 other names. The record is from RNAcentral.